GAUGAACGCUGGCGGCGUGCCUAAUACAUGCAAGUCGAGCGAACAGACGAGGAGCUUGCUCCUCUGACGUUAGCGGCGGACGGGUGAGUAACACGUGGAUAACCUACCUAUAAGACUGGGAUAACUUCGGGAAACCGGAGCUAAUACCGGAUAAUAUAUUGAACCGCAUGGAUCAAUAGUGAAAGACGGUUUUGCUGUCACUUAUAGAUGGAUCCGCGCCGCAUUAGCUAGUUGGUAAGGUAACGGCUUACCAAGGCAACGAUGCGUAGCCGACCUGAGAGGGUGAUCGGCCACACUGGAACUGAGACACGGUCCAGACUCCUACGGGAGGCAGCAGUAGGGAAUCUUCCGCAAUGGGCGAAAGCCUGACGCAGCAACGCCGCGUGAGUGAUGAAGGUCUUCGGAUCGUAAAACUCUGUUAUUAGGGAAGAACAAAUGUGUAAGUAACUAUGCACGUCUUGACGGUACCUAAACAGAAAGCCACGGCUAACUACGUG
RNAcentral lists this ribosomal RNA (497 nucleotides) under uncultured bacterium. RNAcentral describes it as "partial 16S ribosomal RNA". It matches the Rfam family "Bacterial small subunit ribosomal RNA", at positions 28 to 507 of the family's 1533-position model. The record is from RNAcentral.